RNAcentral lists this ribosomal RNA (252 nucleotides) under uncultured bacterium. RNAcentral describes it as "partial 16S ribosomal RNA". It matches the Rfam family "Bacterial small subunit ribosomal RNA", at positions 524 to 776 of the family's 1533-position model. The record is from RNAcentral.
UACGUAGGGGGCAAGCGUUGUCCGGAAUCAUUGGGCGUAAAGAGCGUGUAGGCGGCUCGGUAAGUCCGCUGUGAAGUCCAGGGCUCAACCCUGGAAUGCCGGUGGAAACUGUCGAGCUAGAGUACGAAAGAGGAUCGCGGAAUUCCCGGUGUAGAGGUGAAAUUCGUAGAUAUCGGGAGGAACACCGGUGGCGAAGGCGGCGAUCUGGGUCGAUACUGACGCUGAGGUGCGAAAGCGUGGGGAGCAAACAGG